UCCCUGGUGGCUCAGCUGGUAAAGAAUCCGCCUGCAAUGCGGGAGACCUGGGUUCGAUCCCUGGGUUGGGAA
This is a non-coding RNA of Bos taurus (domestic cattle), 72 nucleotides long. The record is from Rfam. Lineage: Eukaryota; Metazoa; Chordata; Mammalia; Artiodactyla; Bovidae.